UGGACCGGUACAGCAAGGGUCGCAAUGAGGAGGGUGGGGUGGAGUUGUGCGCGGCGUGGCAGGGCGUGGGUGUGGGCGUGGGCGAGGGCGCCAGGGUGGAGGUGACGCCCAAAGCAACGAUGAAGGAGCUGAUUGGUCAGAUGACGGAGAGGCUGGAGGCGUCGGGGUGUGUGGUGUGCGUGGCCAGCGGGGUUGCCACAUCAAAGGCCGUCACCUGCACCCAGAUUGUCAAGAGAAGACACGCGCAUAGACUACAUCAGCUCACCGCCCUCGCUUAUAGAAGGGUAGACGAGUACUGGGAGCCCAAGAUGGAAGGCCUGGACACACUGAAGGUAACGCGAGAGGUCCCCAGUGUUGUGAUUCUACUGUCCAAAGAGGCUCUGGACCCCGCCUUGCCCGGGUAUCAAGCGCCAGGCAGUUUAGGAGAAGACUUCAGGCGGAGAGAGGAGAGAAGAGGAAGAGGAGGCAACAGAA
Portunus trituberculatus (swimming crab) is the source of this 474-nucleotide long non-coding RNA. RefSeq lists it as uncharacterized. NCBI's taxonomy places the organism in Eukaryota, Metazoa, Arthropoda, Malacostraca, Decapoda, Portunidae. The record is from RefSeq and is a predicted model, not a curated record. The transcript has 4 exons.